Molecule: ribosomal RNA, 497 nt
Filed under: uncultured bacterium
Lineage: Bacteria
Description: partial 16S ribosomal RNA
Rfam family: Bacterial small subunit ribosomal RNA
Source: RNAcentral
GAUGAACGCUGGCGGCGUGCCUAAUACAUGCAAGUCGAGCGAACAGACGAGGAGCUUGCUCCUCUGACGUUAGCGGCGGACGGGUGAGUAACACGUGGAUAACCUACCUAUAAGACUGGGAUAACUUCGGGAAACCGGAGCUAAUACCGGAUAAUAUAUUGAACCGCAUUGUUCAAUAGUUAAAUACGGUUUUGCUGUCACUUAUAGAUGGAUCCGCGCCGCAUUAGCUAGUUGGUAAGGUAACGGCUUACCAAGGCAACGAUGCGUAGCCGACCUGAGAGGGUGAUCGGCCACACUGGAACUGAGACACGGUCCAGACUCCUACGGGAGGCAGCAGUAGGGAAUCUUCCGCAAUGGGCGAAAGCCUGACGGAGCAACGCCGCGUGAGUGAUGAAGGUCUUCGGAUCGUAAAACUCUGUUAUUAGGGAAGAACAAAUGUGUAAGUAACUAUGCACGUCUUGACGGUACCUAAUCAGAAAGCCACGGCUAACUACGUG